CACUUCUAAGGAAGGCAGCAGGCGCGCAAAUUACCCAAUCCUGACUCAGGGAGGUAGUGACAAGAAAUAACAAUAAACCGGCUUAUGCCGGUUUAAUUGGAAUGAGUACAAUUUAAACAUCUUAACGAGGAACAAUUGGAGGGCAAGUCUGGUGCCAGCAGCCGCGGUAAUUCCAGCUCCAAUAGCGUAUACUAAAGUUGUUGCAGUUAAAAAGCUCGUAGUUGGAUUUCUGUGGGGACGGAGCGGCCGGCCGCAACUCGCGGUUCGAGCUAGCGCUUUCCCUACAUCCUGCCGCGAACCGUGCUACCAUUAGUUUGGUGGCGCCGGGGAUCGGCUCGAUUACUUUGAGAAAAAUAGAGUGUUCAAAGCAGGCCACAUGCCUUGAAUAAGUUAGCAUGGAAUAAUAACUAAGGACUUCGGUUCUAUUUUGUUGGUGUUCGGGACUGAAGUAAUGAUUGAUAGGGACAGUUGGGGCGGUCUGUAUUCCAAAGCGAGAGGUGAAAUUCUUAGACCUUCGGAAGACAAACAGCUGCGAAAGCGUUCCGCAAGGAUGUUCCCUUUGAUCAAGAACGAAAGUUGGGGGAUCGAAGACGAUCAGAUACCGUCGUAGUCUCAACUAUAAACUAUACCAGCUAGGGAGCGGCCAACGUUAUUUUAUACCGACUUGGUCGGCACCUUAUGAGAAAUCAAAGCAUCUGGGUUCCGGGGGGAGUAUGGUCGCAAGGCUGAAACUUAAAGGAAUUGACGGAAGGGCACCACCAGCCGUGGAGCCUGUGGCUUAAUUUGACUCAACACGGGAAAACUUACCAGGUCCAGACAUAGUAAGGAUUGACAGAUUGAUAGCUCUUUCUUGAUUCUGUGGGUGGUGGUGCAUGGCCGUUCUUAGUUGGUGGAGUGAUUUGUCUGGUUAAUUCCGUUAACGAACGAGACCCCAGCCUGCUAAAUAGCGCGCGUGAGCUUUGCUCGCGGCGAGCUUCUUAGAGGGACUAUGAUGCGCGAUAGCACAUGGAAGUUUGGGGCAAUAACAGGUCUGUGAUGCCCUUAGAUGUUCUGGGCCGCACACGGGCUACACUGGCGCCUGCAACGAGCAUAUCAGCUGGUCCGAGAGGGUCUUGGCUAAUCUUUUGAACCGGCGCCGUGCUUGGGAUUGACCUUUGCAAUUGUUGGUCAUGCAACGAGGAAUGCCUUGUAAACGCGAGUCAUCAGCUCGCAUUGAAUACGUCCCUGCCCUUUGUACACACCGCCCGUCGCUCCUACCGAUGAAUGUUCCGAUGAAAUUUUCGGAGAGCACCUGUGAACUUGGCUCUGCCUCGCGAACGGGAAGCUCAAAGUCACUUAAAUCUGAACAUUU
RNAcentral lists this ribosomal RNA (1351 nucleotides) under uncultured marine eukaryote. RNAcentral's name for it is "SSU rRNA". It matches the Rfam family "Eukaryotic small subunit ribosomal RNA", at positions 411 to 1774 of the family's 1831-position model. The record is from RNAcentral.